This is a long non-coding RNA of Bos taurus (domestic cattle), 790 nucleotides long. The record is from Ensembl. Lineage: Eukaryota; Metazoa; Chordata; Mammalia; Artiodactyla; Bovidae.
CCUGUUCUGAGCAGCCAGGCCCUGAACAUUCUCUGCCACUUCUGUUCACAGUCAGCAGGGAAAUGAGCGGACAGAGGGGUCCUUGAGCCACUGACCACCUCGGCCGUCAGGAAAUAGAGAUGGUGCUCCUUUAAGAUGAAGGUGGUGGGCAGCCACCCAUCUUCCCUAAACACAGACUCGCCUUGUUCUUCCAUUUCUGGCUCAGUGAUAAAAACGUUAAAUGUCAUUUCCUGUAUCAGUGGUUAACCACGAGAUGCUGGAUCAAAGAUUUACCAGAAGUGCUGAAGUUAAGGAAAAAAAAAAAAAAAAGAAAACAACCCUGCUGUUUUCAAUAACCCUUUCUUGCACCCUGUGGGAACUAUUUAACCUUUCUGGUAGGUGGGAGGGGAGCGGGGGAAAGGAGCGGGUUGCUGGAUUUGGCCUGAGCAAUAAACUUCAGAUUAGAUUGGCUAAAGGCUUCCUCGUGCCACAGACAGGAAGUGGAUGAAGGCAUGAUUUCACCGUUCUGCAUUCCUCUCCGGAGAAGCCUGGAAGUCGCAACUUCUGAAGCCCAAACACCCUAGAGCCUGUGCUCCACGAUAAGAGAAGCCACCGCAAUGAGAAGUCCACUGUGCAACUAGAGAAAGCCUGCACGCAGCAAUGAAGAAUCAGCACAGCCAAAAAUAAUGUUCACAUGUCAUGAAAAUGGUGGUCUUGGACUUCCCUGGGGGUCCAGCAGUUGAGAAUUGACCUGCCAAUGCAGGGAACACGGAUUCCAUCCCUAGUCUGAGAAGACUCCACACGCCAUGGA